AAGUCGUAACAAGGUUUCCGUAGGUGAACCUGCGGAAGGAUCAUUAAAAGAGUAAAGGGUCUCCGGCCCGAACCUCCAACCCUUUGUUGUUAAAACUACCUUGUUGCUUUGGCGGGGACCGUUCGGUCUCGAGCGCACCGGUCUUCGGAUUGGUGAGGCCCGCCAGAGUCCAAACCAAACUCUUGUAUUAAAACCAGUCGUCUGAGUAUAAAAUUUUUAAUUUAAUUAAAAA
Molecule: unclassified non-coding RNA, 232 nt
Filed under: plant metagenome
Description: partial contains small subunit ribosomal RNA and internal transcribed spacer 1
Rfam family: Eukaryotic small subunit ribosomal RNA (bases 1-46)
Source: RNAcentral